GACGAACGCUGGCGGCGUGCUUAACACAUGCAAGUCGAACGGACAGGCCCUGCGUUUGUGGGGUGCUCGAGUGGCGAACGGGUGAGUAACACGUGAGUAACCUCCCCUUGUCUUUGGGAUAUCUUCACGAAACUGGGGCUAUUACCGGAUAGGAGCUUCUGCUGCAUGUUGGGGGUAGGAGAGUUUCGGCGGUUGUGGAUGUACUCGCGGCUUAUCAGCUUGUUGGUGUGGUAGUGGCUUACCAAGGCUUUGACGGGUAGCCGGCAUGAGAGGGUGACCGGCGACAAUGGGACUGAGAGAGGGACCAGACUCCUACGGGAGGCAGCAGUCGGAAAUAUUGCACAAUGGGCGGAAGCCUGAUACAGCGACGCCGCGUGCGGGAUGACGGCCUUCGGGUUGUAAACCGCUGUCGCCUGUGACGAAGCGUGAGUGACGGUAAUGGGUAAAGAAGCACCGGCUAACUACGUG
RNAcentral lists this ribosomal RNA (468 nucleotides) under uncultured bacterium. RNAcentral describes it as "partial 16S ribosomal RNA". It matches the Rfam family "Bacterial small subunit ribosomal RNA", at positions 28 to 507 of the family's 1533-position model. The record is from RNAcentral.